RNAcentral lists this long non-coding RNA (2156 nucleotides) under Monodelphis domestica (gray short-tailed opossum). RNAcentral's name for it is "lncRNA (ENSMODG00000037894.1)". Lineage: Eukaryota; Metazoa; Chordata; Mammalia; Didelphimorphia; Didelphidae. The record is from RNAcentral.
CUUAUUUUAAAAAUUGUUACUUUAAAAAAUUAAAACAGGAUUUUUUUUUUUUUUUUGGUAUCAAAGGCACCUGUGCAGUUAUUCACUGCAGUUAAUCUUAACAAAAGACAAGAUAUAAUAGAGAUGUGACAUUUGUUGUCCCCUUAUAACUUGGGGCUUAUAGAUCCAAUCUUUAUAAAAGAUUUAUUCUUCCUGUCAGGGUCUGCUGCUGGGACUAACGGAACUUAAAAGAACAAUUAAAUCAGACAGUUAAGGCUGGAAGCAAUGGACUUAUUUUUAUCUUGGCUCAUUUGAGGAAACAGGAAGGAGAAAUCCAAGAGAACAUGAAAGAGGAGGCAGAGAGAGCAAGGGAAGGGUACUAGGGCAUUCCCCUCACCUCCUUAUAUAUGCUUGGGCUUGAACCCUUUAAAUAGGGUCUGGAAAGUUUAUAACCAAAGAUAUUGCCAAGUAGCUUUUGGUCCAGCAGACUUUAGGGCAUGUCAGGAGAAAUGAGUCUGGGAUGAUCUGGGAUUUCUGAGUCCAUUUUUAUUCCAAGCUUCAGGAUAGCUAUGGAAAGCUUCUGAGUUAGGGCAGCUUGAUUGUUUUAUAGGGAAGGGAAUGAUUCAAUUCAGGUGAGUCUGAUUGGUUUUCCACCCCUUUGGGGCCUACUCAGGGAUGUUUUGAUAAGUUAGGCAGCUGGAAUUUUCUAAGAGACUUCCAGAUAGAAAGCUUUUGAGAAAAGGGACCAACCUAAUGGUAACUGGCAUUAUUCAGGAGGAUAUGAGAUGAAGGAAAUAAAGCCAUGAAGAGCGAAGGACUUGUCAUGGGUCACCUAUCAAAUCAACGUCUGAGGCAAGAUACAUGCCCAAGGCUUCCUGAUUCUAGGCUCUGUACCCAUUGGUUUGCCGAUGGAAGUGUCAGAAGUCUGAACCACAUCUAUUAAUUUUCUGGAGGACAAAGUUGUCCAGUGAUUUCCAAAAUGCCACAACCAGAAAGGAAGGAAAGCUUUAAAGUCAUGAUGAAUGUUACAGUUCCCCUGGAUGUUUCAGUUCCUCAGCCCAUCACUGUCUCUGGAGAGCAUACAGGGAAGCUAUGUGGCACAGUGGAAAGAAUGCCAGACCUGAAAUCAAGAGGAUCUGAGUUCAAGUCAGGUCUCAGAUACUUACCAGCUGUGUGACACUGGGCAAGUCACUUCACCCUGUUUGCCUCAGUUUAUUCGUCUGGAAAGUGAGCUGGAGAAGGAAAUGGCAGACCAUUCCAGUAUCUUUACCAAAAAAAAAAAAUCCACAAAAACAACAAAACCCAAAUAGGGUCAUGAAGAAUCAAAUACAACUAAUUGACUAAACAACUGGAGAGCUUAACUUAAAUAGGAUUGGGAAAUAGUUUGGAGGGAGGAGAAAGUUCACCUGUCAUGUAUGGUGAAGAUCACUAACAACACCACCACCACUUCUCUCCCACCCUAACUCCACAGAUAAAUGCAAACCGAAUACAGAUAAAACUAGGAGAAUUGGAUAUAAAUACCUCCUGAAGUCAUACUGUGUGUAUGAUACUUUAGAUAUGUUUAGAUACUUUAGUCAUUUCAGAUCCUACAUCUCCCUGUCAAGGAGCUUUCCAGGACUGACUUUUAGGGUAUGUUCUUGUCUUUCUUGGUCUGAAGCCAUGGGUUAAAGUAACUUGAAGGUUGACCUUAAAUGACCUUGGGAUGACCAGAAAAGGGGGAGUUUUAAUAGAGAACUGAUCAGAUUAAGCAGAUGACGUCAUUUCAGUAUCUCUCAGCUGUUUUAUUCUAAUGUCCAAGUUUUAUUAGCUUGGCUAGACCCAAGGCUAUGAUCUGAACACAUUCAUUCAGUUAAUGCCAAGAAUUUAUGGAGUGCUUAAUGUGUGCUCAGACUUGUGCUGGAACUGUGGGGGAAAUAGAGAAAUAAUAAGAUACAGUUCCUUGCACUCAGGGAGAUUAUAGCCUCCAUGGGAAUCCAAGACAAUGCUACCUAAACCAGUGAGAUAACAAUACAUCUAAGACAUUGUCGGUCUUGACUUCUCUAUACCUUCUCCCGUCUAGCCAUCAUCUGUGUUCUAGAUGCUCACUAUUUAAGAUUUCUUGCAUCCUUGCCAUCCUCUUCACAUAUAUCACAACUACCAUAGUUUAAAUGUAUGUAACAUACAAACGACUCCAUUUG